UUGAUAUGAUGAAUUUUUUUGAUCUACAUGUUUUUUUCUGGCAUCUCUAAUGCUAGAAUGUGACGUUUAAGUACCGAUCAUUCGAUGAAUAUACCUUUUGACAACUAUCUGAAU
This 114-nucleotide small nucleolar RNA is filed under the name Henningerozyma blattae CBS 6284. RNAcentral's name for it is "Tetrapisispora blattae CBS 6284 Small nucleolar RNA snR48". It matches the Rfam family "Small nucleolar RNA snR48". From Rfam's summary of the family: snR48 is a member of the C/D class of snoRNA which contain the C (UGAUGA) and D (CUGA) box motifs. Most of the members of the box C/D family function in directing site-specific 2'-O-methylation of substrate RNAs. Lineage: Eukaryota; Fungi; Ascomycota; Saccharomycetes; Saccharomycetales; Saccharomycetaceae. The record is from Rfam by way of RNAcentral.